GAGGGUCCAAUGGCCCACAGCUCAGGGCCUUUGCAGCCACAGUCCUGACUGCCGGGCUCACUCCAGGCCGGGUCCAAGCUCGUGUCCUCACAGAGAGCACAGCCCACCCUGCUCCUCCCACAGGAGCCUCACUGCAGGUCCCGAGGGCCACCGACAGCGCCCCAACUGUCCCGUCCCCGCUGUCUCCACAGGACCCGGGGCCAGGUGGGACUCCGUUGUUUUUCUCUGAUCCCCACCUAGGAGGAAAGAGGCCGCCUCCGUGACCCGGGGCGCAGCCGGCUGCCCGCAGCAGGUGCGGACAGCGCGCUCCUUCCGCCGAGCUUUCCCUUUCCGUGUGAUUCAGAACGUGAGCUCCGUGCCUGGGGCAGGGCGCCCCUGCAUCUCCCCAAGCCCACGUCUCCCCGCAGCGGCGGCGUCUUCCCGUCUCCUUCCCGCCUCCUGCAGCGGGGGUCCCACCGUGGGGCCCGCGGCUCCUCCCCUGCAUCGCGCGGGGUUCACACCGCUCUGCUAUUGGGGUACGGAAUUGACCCCGCGCGUAUUCUGCAGCGGGCUCUCGGGCUCCCGUUUCGGCCACAGAAUGAUGACCUGGGCACACAAACCAACCCUCCUGCUGAAAAGUGCCAAGACCCCCGGACGGUAUGUUCCACCAACGUCUUGCCGACGGCACCCCCGGGCUGGCAGGAAAGACGGACAUCUCCGGCCGCGGCUGCCUGGAAGGAGGGACCCGGGGAAGCCCGGGGAGCCGGAACAGGCUCUGCCUGCAGAAGCGCGGGCCCAGCGGGCUCAGCCGAAAUCUCUCCGUGUUGCAGGGCUCCGGGGAAGAGGACGCAAAACCCAGGGUCCUGCGGGGAAGCUGCCCUAAGUACGGCGCCCAGAACCCGUCACUUCAGUGGCAAGAACUCCACGGAAAUCCCCAGCGCGCCUCCGGCCCCAGGAAGCAAAAGGAACUUGCAGCGUUCACCUGCGGGUGCUGGUCGAGUUCUCCCCUCAGGACUUACGGCGACAGCCGACUCUCCGGCAGGUUUGCAAACCAAACUUAAGGUCACCAGGAUGGUGAGAAAGCCUCACACCGGCCGGGCACAGUGGCUCAUGCUUGCAAU
RNAcentral lists this long non-coding RNA (1100 nucleotides) under Piliocolobus tephrosceles (Ugandan red Colobus). Its description in RNAcentral is "lncRNA (ENSPTEG00000015186.1)". The record is from RNAcentral. Lineage: Eukaryota; Metazoa; Chordata; Mammalia; Primates; Cercopithecidae.